This 253-nucleotide ribosomal RNA is filed under the name uncultured bacterium. RNAcentral describes it as "partial 16S ribosomal RNA". It matches the Rfam family "Bacterial small subunit ribosomal RNA", at positions 524 to 776 of the family's 1533-position model. The record is from RNAcentral.
UACGUAGGGGGCAACCGUUGUCCGGAUUUACUGGGUGUAAAGGGUGCUCAGGCGGUCUUGUAAGUUAGAAGUGAAAUCCUAGGGCUCAACUCUGGAACUGCUUUUAAUACUGCAAGGCUUGAAUAUGGAAGAGGAGGGUGGAAUUUCUGGUGUAGCAGUGAAAUGCGUAGAUAUCAGAAAGAACACCAGUGGCGAAGGCGGCCCUCUGGUCCAUUAUUGACGCUAAAGCACGAAAGCGUGGGGAGCAAACAGG